This 28-nucleotide non-coding RNA is filed under the name Mus musculus (house mouse). The record is from RNAcentral. Lineage: Eukaryota; Metazoa; Chordata; Mammalia; Rodentia; Muridae.
UAAUAAAAUCUGGCCCUAUUAUUUUGCC